Non-coding RNA from Pelobates cultripes (western spadefoot toad), 331 nucleotides. The record is from the annotation of a GenBank genome assembly. NCBI's taxonomy places the organism in Eukaryota, Metazoa, Chordata, Amphibia, Anura, Pelobatidae.
GGAGGAUCUUGUUCAGUCUGGUGGCUUGUACUUUCGCGUAUAGUUUGGUAUCUGUAUUUAGAAGUGAUAUUGGCCAAAUAUUUUGGCUCUAUGUGGGUGGUUUUCCUUGUUUUGGAUAGCGUAACGAUGUGGGCUUCUAGCAUGUCUUCGGGUACUUCUGCCUUAAGGGUUUUACCACUGAAUAAUGUAGUUAGGUAGGGAGCUAAUGUUUCCGCAAACUUUUUAUAGUAGGUGUUGGAGAAUCCAUCCGGAUCAGGGACUUUCCAAGCUCGGAAGAUGUGAGAAGGCCAGAAGCACCUUCUAAUCUGAAAUGUGUGCUUGUAGGACUUCU